RNAcentral lists this long non-coding RNA (200 nucleotides) under Ananas comosus (pineapple). Its description in RNAcentral is "long non-coding RNA (ACOM_LNC035786)". Lineage: Eukaryota; Viridiplantae; Streptophyta; Magnoliopsida; Poales; Bromeliaceae. The record is from RNAcentral.
CUGUCACGCCCCAAUCCCCGCCAAUUUGGUCGGGUUCGGGUCACGUCAACAGACGCCGAACGGACAGAGCCUCCCCUGUCCGCCCAAGGCUCUAACAACACGUAUAAUUAAGCAAUUAACAAGAGAAUUGCAUAUAUAAUACAAGGCUUGCUCGAGGGCAAGCAACAACGGAAGCGAAAGCUCUAAGCUAAAUAUACAAC